ACAAGCAGCGGAGCGUGUGGUUUAAUUCGAUGCUACACGGAGAACCUUUACCAGGGUUUGACAUGCAAGUGGUAGGAAACCGAAAGGUGACCGACCCUUCGGGGAGCUUGCACAGGUGCUGCAUGGCUGUCGUCAGCUCGUGUCGUGAGAUGUUCGGUUAAGUCCGCUAACGAGCGCAACCCUCGCUGUGUGUUAUAUGUGUCACACGGGACUGCCGGUCUUAAGCCGGAGGAAGGUGGGGAUGAUGUCAAGUCAGCAUGGCCUUUAUAUCCUGGGCUACACACACGCUACAAUGGCCAGCACAGUAGGUUGCUAAGCCGCGAGGUGGAGCCAAUCCAUAAAGCUGGUCUCAGUUCAGAUUGCAGGCUGCAACCCGCCUGCAUGAAGAUGGAGUUGCUAGUAACCGCAGGUCAGCUAUACUGCGGUGAAUACGUUCCCGGGGCUU
This 445-nucleotide ribosomal RNA is filed under the name uncultured Leptolinea sp. Its description in RNAcentral is "bacterial SSU rRNA". It matches the Rfam family "Bacterial small subunit ribosomal RNA", at positions 925 to 1382 of the family's 1533-position model. The record is from RNAcentral. Lineage: Bacteria; Bacillati; Chloroflexota; Anaerolineae; Anaerolineales; Anaerolineaceae.